CUGGGCAACAAAGCGAGACUCUGUCUCAAAAAAAAAAAAAAGAAUCGAACCAGUUCUUCCGGCUGGGGGACACACAGGGAAGAGAAGCAGACAGAGCCAGGAAUGGAAGGAGGAAGAGAGGAUGAUUGUAAAAACAAAGAAAUUAGCGAGAAAGCCAGCCUUGGGCAGAAAUGGCCUCCGGCGUCCCAGCCUAGACUCUGCGCACCGCAGCCUCCUUGUGGAACUACGUUUCCCAGCAGCCUCCAGGGCCCGAGGCGCAGGGCGCUAGGCGGAGCGCGUCUUCUGGCGCGGGCCUGACGCGGACUCCAAUGCUGGCUGUCAGGCGGCAACGUUCUCCCUCCGCCGCCAACAUGGAGGCUGGGCUCGGCCUCCCGCGGAAGACGCUGUGAGGCUGUUGAUGGGGAAAGGCCGAAGUCCCACCUGCCCAGAUGAAGCCGAUGGCUCAGGUCGCGGCCUGGAGGUAGAGGCAGGCGUGGCAGGAGAAGGCAAGAGACUGCUAUUGUGGGCAUAGCGGUAGCUGCCAGGACUGGGCAGAGGGAAGAGAGCUUAUUGAGUGGCAUGGCUCAGGGAGGCAGAA
Molecule: non-coding RNA, 577 nt
Organism: Microcebus murinus (gray mouse lemur)
Lineage: Eukaryota; Metazoa; Chordata; Mammalia; Primates; Cheirogaleidae
Source: RefSeq, a predicted model, not a curated record